CAAUAGUGAAUAAGUCUCAUGAGAUCUAAUGGUUGUAAAAAGGGGAGUUCUCCUGCAUAAACUCUCUCUUUGUAGGAGCUAAGAUUGCAAGAUCAGGGAGAGAGCAGGGCCAAACUAUAUCCGGCUUUGUAGGCCUUGGUGAGGACUUCUAUUCUCAUUCUGAAUGAGAAAGGAAGUCAACAGAAACUUUUUAACCAAGUGGCAAUAUGAUCUGAUUUGCAUUUUACGAGGAUCUCAUUGACCACCACAUAAAAAAAAGGCUCUAGAAAACCAAGGACAAAAGCAGGAAGAACCUUCACAAGACCAGUGCAACAAUCCAGGACUCACAGGUUGGAGGGCCUGAGAAGUUCUCUUGAUUGUGGGAAAAAGAGGAUUAAGUCAAAAGGAUUUACACCCAGCCUCAUCCUGUACUCUAAACCAUUAUUCAGCCAGUAAGUCUUUCAGAUUAAUUAUGGGUAUUUUCUGCCAUGUCCUUCUUCUUCUGAAAUCUAGCAGGAAUCAUAUCUUAUCCCUGCUUGAAUACCUCAUAUUAUAAUGCCUGGCAUUUGUCAUAAGAAAAAAAUGGCAUUUUUGAUUGUAAGAAUAAAUUAUGACUGUCUCCUGGAUUCUAUGCUGUUUUGGUAUUUUCUUUCUUUUAUGACUUUUCUUA
Molecule: long non-coding RNA, 649 nt
Filed under: Homo sapiens (human)
Lineage: Eukaryota; Metazoa; Chordata; Mammalia; Primates; Hominidae
Description: HSALNT0057157
Source: RNAcentral